GUCUACAGCCAUGCCACCCUGAACAUGCCCAAUCCCGUCUGAUCUCGGAAGCUUAGCGGGGUUGGGCCUGGUUAGUACAUGAAUGGGAGACCCUAGGAAGACCAGGUCCUGCUGUAGGCA
RNAcentral lists this ribosomal RNA (120 nucleotides) under Pteropus alecto (black flying fox). The record is from RNAcentral. Lineage: Eukaryota; Metazoa; Chordata; Mammalia; Chiroptera; Pteropodidae.